This 345-nucleotide unclassified non-coding RNA is filed under the name soil metagenome. RNAcentral describes it as "partial contains 5.8S ribosomal RNA, internal transcribed spacer 2, and large subunit ribosomal RNA". The stretch from base 1 to 120 matches the Rfam family "5.8S ribosomal RNA", at positions 35 to 154 of the family's 154-position model. The record is from RNAcentral.
GAUGAAGAACGCAGCGAAAUGCGAUACGUAAUGUGAAUUGCAGAAUUCAGUGAAUCAUCGAGUCUUUGAACGCACAUUGCGCCCUCUGGUAUUCCGGAGGGCAUGCCUGUCCGAGCGUCAUUGCUGCCCUCAAGCACGGCUUGUGUGUUGGGCUCCGUCCCCCGAUCCCGGGGGACGGGCCCGAAAGGCAGCGGCGGCACCGCGUCCGGUCCUCGAGCGUAUGGGGCUUUGUCACCCGCUCUGUAGGCCCGGCCGGCGCUUGCCGAUCAACCAAAUUUUUAUCCAGGUUGACCUCGGAUCAGGUAGUGAUACCCGCUGAACUUAAGCAUAUCAAUAAGCGGAGGA